UACAGAGACUGCGAGCGUUAUUCGGAUUCACUGGGCGUAAAGUGUGCGCAGGCGGCCGCGCAAGUCGAGUGUGAAAGCCCCGGGCUUAACUUGGGAAUUGCGCUCGAAACUACGUGGCUGGAGUGUGGCAGAGGAAGGUGGAAUUCCAGGUGUAGCGGUGAAAUGCGUAGAGAUCUGGAGGAACACCGAUGGCGAAGGCAGCCUUCUGGGCCAACACUGACGCUCAUGCACGAAAGCGUGGGGAGCAAACAGG
Molecule: ribosomal RNA, 253 nt
Filed under: uncultured bacterium
Lineage: Bacteria
Description: partial 16S ribosomal RNA
Rfam family: Bacterial small subunit ribosomal RNA
Source: RNAcentral